Molecule: long non-coding RNA, 714 nt
Organism: Arachis duranensis
Lineage: Eukaryota; Viridiplantae; Streptophyta; Magnoliopsida; Fabales; Fabaceae
Exons: 3
Source: RefSeq, a predicted model, not a curated record
CAUUCCUAAAACCACAACCCUAACAAAAUUCCUAAAAUAUUUCAAUUAAUAAAAUCACAAAAUCCUCAAUCCAUUCCAAAUGUUUCGUUCUUCAGUUGUUCUUCAAUCCAUUCGAUGACGAUGUGCAUUUCUUUAUUGAGCUUCGAUCUCAAUCUCUGCUCGCUAAUGAGCUUCGAUUUUUUAUUAUCAUGAAUAUGCUUCGAUCUUUUCUGCUGGUCAAUGUGCUUCGAUCCUCUGCUCCUCUCCUCGUUGAGCUUCAAUCCUCUACUUCUCUUUUCGUCAAGCUUCGAUCCUCUCUGCUCGCGUUCAUCACCGCCACUGUUCGAUUAUCACUGCUCGUGUUUUUGGUGAGAUUCUCGUUUUUGACAUUCUUCUGCAGGCUGCUUUUCUGUUAGCUUUGGUUGGAUCAGAAGUUGCAUAUUCUGCUGCACAAGCUACAGUGACAACUCUUUCGGAGGCUUACAAAACAACUAAAAAUCAUCGAUCAUUCCCAAGAAACACAUCACUACAAGUCAAAGUUCAUUCUUCCAAAAGAGGGGAAAGGGUGGGUGAUGACUGGUGUUCGAGAAGCUUGGAAAGGUUACAAAACAAGAAUCAAGGGAAAGCAUUUUGAGAGAUAUAACAACAUUGAAGAUAUGCUGAAAAAUCGCCCUUUAGAUAUUCCAGAAGUUCAAUUUCAAAAGUUAAUUGCAUAUUGGAGUAUUCCUUCUGUUA